GCCCUCGGUGGCUCAGAUGGAUAGAGCGUCUGCCAUGUAAGCAGGAGAUCCUGGGUUCGAGUCCCGGUCGGGGCA
This 75-nucleotide transfer RNA is filed under the name Schistocerca americana (American grasshopper). RNAcentral's name for it is "tRNA-Thr". It matches the Rfam family "tRNA". Rfam says of the family: Transfer RNA (tRNA) molecules are approximately 80 nucleotides in length. Their secondary structure includes four short double-helical elements and three loops (D, anti-codon, and T loops). The record is from RNAcentral. Lineage: Eukaryota; Metazoa; Arthropoda; Insecta; Orthoptera; Acrididae. RNAcentral also lists the same sequence under 4 other names.